This is an RNA transcript of Camelina sativa (false flax), 2491 nucleotides long. It is a transcript of the gene named putative disease resistance protein At1g61190, with no coding region annotated. NCBI's taxonomy places the organism in Eukaryota, Viridiplantae, Streptophyta, Magnoliopsida, Brassicales, Brassicaceae. The record is from RefSeq and is a predicted model, not a curated record.
UCCUCAUGGAGGAUGUUUACAAGGAAAUUCGGAACAUAAUCAAAAGAGAUAAAAGAAGUAUUGUUUUGAAAAUCGCAUCUUCUUCUUCAUCACACAAACCCCUAAAAUUCACCGAAACUCUCCAUGAAUGAAACAAUUGAAUUGAAGAAACUCAAAAUAUAGAUUUGUCCCCAAAUAGAAAGAACAUCAUAAAUCCUCAAAACCCAGCAGCGUGCUCAAAAAGAAACAUGCAUGAAUCCACGAAGUGAAAAUCACAUACAGACCAUGUGUAAAUCGAAGUGGCUCAAUCGAGCCUUCUUCAGGAAGAAAGAGAUGCAAGACAGACAGAAUCUUCUUCUUCACCAUUGUAACAUUGACAUACACAAUUAGCUGCAAAAGGCAGCAACCAAUCCAAAGUUUUCUUUGGUACAAGAAUCCAGAUACAUCUCAUAGUUUGUCAUUACUGGGUAUUAACAUUGAAGAGAGAUAACUUGUGGUUCCAAGUUUUCUCAAUUUACAACUAUGGAGAAGAAGAAUAACCAAAGAUAUGACUCUCUGUCACUGUGUCACACUCAAUAAGCUAAGAUGGAUUCUCUUUUUGCCAUACUUUGACUUUUGUUCUAGUCACUCCAUGUUCUUCUUUAACUUGGUUUCUUUUUCUUCUAGUUCCCAUGUUCUUUAUUCCAAACUGAGACAGCUUCCCUUAAAUGCUGCAAGUGUCCCUCUGAGUUUGAGAGUUUUCGGUGAACAAUGUAUCAUUAAGGACCGGAAUCUGUCAACGAAUAUGAGGACCAAGAUACCAAAAUCGUCUCCUGCCUUUAUUCUAUCAUCAGAGGAAGCAUGGGAAUUGUUUAGAAACAAGGUCGGAUACAAUACAUUAAGUAGAGAUCCUGUUAUUGUCCAGCUGGCAAGAAAGGUCGCUGAAAAAUGUCGAGGUCUGCCACUUGCGCUCUGUGUCAUUGGUGAGACAAUGGCAUCUAAAACUACUGUACAAGAAUGGGAGCAUGCAAUCGAUGUUUUGAAUACAUCCGCUGGGGAGCUGUGAGAAGAAUGUCAUUAAUGGCUAAUAAUAUUGAAGAGAUAACAUGCAGUUCCAAGUGCUCUCGUCUUACCACUCUGUUCCUCCAAAGUAAUUGGAAACUGAAGAAUCUCUCAGGUGAAUUCAUCCGGUCUAUGAAAGAGCUAGCUGUUUUGGAUCUAUCAGGUAAUUUCAACAUCAAUGAACUUCCAGAGCAGAUGUCGGGGCUGGUCUCGUUGCAGUUUCUUGACUUGUCACGUACAAGUAUUAAGCAACUACCUGUUGGUUUCCAAGAGUUGAAAAAGCUAAUGCACCUGGAUUUGGCUUUUACAAAUAGACUUUGUAGCAUCAACGGGAUAUCAGAGUUGCCGAUUUUAAGAGUUUUGAAACUACAAGAUUCUAAUGUUGUUCACGGAUACGUAAGCGAAAAAUAUUAUAGUGACGAAACUAGAGCUCGUGCAGAGGUUAGCUUAGUGAAGAAGCUGCAGCUCUUGGAGCACCUACAAGUUCUAACCAUAUCUUUAUCUACAGAUUUGGGUUUGGAGCAAAUUUCAUGCGAUAAAAGGUUGGCAAACUGCAUCAAUGUUGUGCAAAUGCAUAAAUUUCACCAGAAGCCGUUGAAUAUAUCCUUGUUGGUGAAUAUGGAGAAUCUUUGUGAGCUCAGAAUGCGAAGUACUUAUGUCUUGGAAAUUGAUUCAUAUAUAAAUUUCGGAGAAAGCAGAACAGACUUGUCUGAUCUAUACAAUGCGACAAGUGAAUGCUUCACCAACCUCUCCCUCGUGAAUUUAUUUGAUUGCAAAGGCAUUAAGGAUCUGACUUGGCUAUUGUUUGCUCCAAAUCUUGUCGAGCUACACAUUGUACAUUUAGAAGAAUUGGAAGAAGUUAUAAACAAAGAGAAAGAAACCAAUAUUACAGGUCUUAUUAUUCCAUUUCUGAAACUACAAAGCUUAUCAUUGAGCAGUUUGCCUAAGCUGGAGAGUGUCUACUGGUGUCCUCUACCCUUUCCAUUUUUGAGGGAAUUAGAUGCAAGUUACUGUCCAAAGCUGAGAAAGCUUCCCUUAAAUGCUUUAAGUGUCCUACGAGUUGAGGAAUUGGUUAUAAGUAUGGAUCCUCGAGAACAGAGAAUUGACCUUGAGUGGGAGGACGAAGUUACAAAAAAACGUUUCUCGCCUUCAUUCAUUGCACUCAGUCAGGUCUAAGCAUUCUUUUCUCUGGAUCGGGGAUAUUCAUUUCUCUUAUUCUCUUCCGCUUGAGUUUGUUUCAUGGUUGCUGCAUGAGAUCUAAACAUUCAAUUCUUUGCUGUGGAUUGGGAUUCGUCGUCACUGUCUAAAAUCAGAAUCUACACGUGAUUUUUUCCUUUUGCUUUAUGUUUCUUUCUUCUUGUAGUGUGUUUGUGUUGUUCAUUUGGAUUGUCUCAUUGCUAUUUCUUUUGAAAGUGAUUUCAAGAAACAUAAUUAUUAUCUCAGCCCCAAACCAUUACCAAUGGAGAAAAUA